AGUUAGUGUUUGUAAAUAAUGACCUCACUGUUGCUCAAGGAACAUCCCUGUGGCUUCUGAAGCACAUAAAAGCCCUCCCUUCCCUGCUCUUACUCCUUUGGCUUCACUUCUCCUCAUCUGCCCAUUUUUGCCUGCCCUGCAGAAAGAUGUACAGCCCUGGACACUAUACAGCGUUCUGCCAUGGACCUUCAGGGUCAUGCCUUGGAAAGGGGGGACCCUACGGCUGCGGACAGACUUUCUGUUCUGGGAUCCAGCAUAGUCAAGGAGACUCUAGAUCAUCCUGCCACAGUUCUGGGCCUCUGUGCCAUGGAUCUGGACCUUUCGACCAAAAAACAUGGCGAAGGCAGCAUGUACGCAAGCGCCGUCCAGUGUGGCCAUGCCAGGCACCAGUGCAGAAAUGCUGCGCCCCAGCACAACUGCGUUAUGCAUAAGGGGAAAAGUGCAGCCGCAGCAGGUCAGCAAGGUGCCAACACAGCAGCUAACUAACUAAAGUAACACAGCCAACAACCCCAGGAACCAAAAUGAAAUGAAGACCUGCCAGUUUCCUCCCUGUUCAUACAGUGACACCUUCAGUGCCUAAAGCAUCUCAUGUGCCAUUUCACAAACUGCAGAUUCUUUCCUCGCCAGCAGAUUAAAACCAGUUAAAUACCUUAAAAAUCCAGCCUUGGGUGCUCAAAGAUGCAGAUAACUACUUAGCACGAUAUUAAGAAGCAUCUCAGCACCUGAAGCCAGCGGGAACAAGGCAUGUGGGCAGCUUUCUUUCUCUUUAUAGGCACUUUUAUAAUGCUGUGGAAAAUCUGCUCCUGUGUGUCUAGAACAUGGUCUAGAGACCCUAGUGCCUGCGUAAAUAUGAAAUGUUUGUAUCAAGUUCUACUUCUGCUGUAUCAAGUAAGCUCUUGAGACACAAUGUCGUAUAUUGUAUUCUGAGGGUACUCUAUUAAGUACUUUCAAAUCUCCACUGUUACCCGAGACACAAUAAAACUUGCAAAACAUGA
Long non-coding RNA from Alligator mississippiensis (American alligator), 995 nucleotides. RefSeq lists it as uncharacterized. The record is from RefSeq and is a predicted model, not a curated record. The transcript is spliced from 2 exons. NCBI's taxonomy places the organism in Eukaryota, Metazoa, Chordata, Crocodylia, Alligatoridae.